Molecule: ribosomal RNA, 484 nt
Filed under: uncultured bacterium
Lineage: Bacteria
Description: partial 16S ribosomal RNA
Rfam family: Bacterial small subunit ribosomal RNA
Source: RNAcentral
AGUGAACGCUGGCGGCAGGCCUAACACAUGCAAGUCGAGCGGCAGCGCGGGGGCAACCCUGGCGGCUAGCGGCGGACGGGUGAGGAAUUCGUCGGAAUCUGCUGUUUUGGGGGGGAGAACGUCGGGAAACUUCCGCUAAUACCGCAUACGUCCUACGGGAGCAAGUGGGGGAGCGCAAGGCCUUACGCAGAAAGAUGAGCCGACGAGCGAUUAGCUAGUUGGUGGGGUAAACGCCCACCAAGGCGACGAUCGGUAGCUGGUCUGAGUGGAUGGUAGCCCACCUUAGAACGGGGACACGCCCCAGGCUCCUGCGGGAGGCAGCAGUGGGGAAUGUUGGGCAACGGGCGCAAACCUGAUCCAGCCAGGGGGCGUGUGUGACGGAGACCUUGGGGUUGUGAAGCACUUUUUUGCGGAAUGAACUCCCUGGGGCUAAGACGUUGCGGGGAUGACGGUACCGGAUGAAGAAGCACCGGCUAACUACGUG